AGAAAAGAAUUUGGCACGUGUCUUGGUUCUAGGUACAAGAGUCAACACCUCUUGUAUGUUAUGUCUAAAUACAGGAGUCACAAUCUCAAUGGUGGACUGGAAUCGUGCAUGAGAGCCUCAAUCACUUUUGUGGACUGUGUCUCCUUAGUCACAGCCUUACAGGUAUGCCGAGUCAUGGUCUGAAAGUCACCAGCCCUCCUUUUGACUGGUUCCACAUGUGAAAAGUCCACCCUUUGCCUCCAGUUGUGAGAUUCAGUUCCUCAGCUGUGGGCUGUGUUCAUGUGGAAAGAUGACAAUCUUGACUGCUGGUCGAGUUGUUUCUUCUAAGGCGAGAAUCGAGGUUCCUGCACUCAUACCCGUAUGAAUUCACUUCCAGUAAAAGCACAUCACAGUUCAGACCAGCCACAUUCCAGGCACUCAGUCGCCACACAUGGCCAGUAGCUGCCACAUUGAAGUGCAGCUCUGACCUCGGGAGCAAAGGGCCUGAAAAAACUUUUCUGCCAAAGCUGAAAAAAGAGCCUUUCCCUACCAACAUUUCUCUUCAGCUCUGAGGGAGGAACAGAUAGUAGCCAUAGAAAAAUCAGAGGACAGCAAGAAAAAAACAACCACAGGUAGACCACUGCUGGCCACCCGUUGUCCACCUUUCUUCCAGAGAUCAGAAGGUGAACAAAGGAUGAUAAGGCCACAGGAGAAGAAAUCUCUAUAUCUUCAAACCUGUGCACAGUCUUGACCUCCAAUGUUUAGAUAUGAAGAAAACAGA
Molecule: long non-coding RNA, 760 nt
Organism: Pan troglodytes (chimpanzee)
Lineage: Eukaryota; Metazoa; Chordata; Mammalia; Primates; Hominidae
Exons: 3
Source: RefSeq, a predicted model, not a curated record